This is a long non-coding RNA of Canis lupus familiaris (dog), 1189 nucleotides long. RefSeq lists it as uncharacterized. The transcript has 2 exons. NCBI's taxonomy places the organism in Eukaryota, Metazoa, Chordata, Mammalia, Carnivora, Canidae. The record is from RefSeq and is a predicted model, not a curated record.
CCGCUCCGGGCCUGCGCUGCGGCGUCGCCUCUUCCGGUCGUGCGCCACCGCGCGUCUUCCUCAGACUUUCCCGGGAGCAACGUAGUCGUGCCUUGAAGUCCCUGGGCUUUGCGAGGUCAAAUUCUUAGUCCUUAUUUUAUUUAUUGCCGUACUUCACACUGAAGUAACCCAUGUUUUAGCCUAAGCCUGUCACGUGUCUCUGAAUUCUAAAGCCUUAGACGAAGAACCCAGAGACCAUCUACCAUAUUAUGAAGAUGGAAGACCAUGUGGAGGAACCCAGCUGUUUCAGCUGAGCCCAGACAACAGCCAGGGGAAUACAGCUGCGGAAGUGAGCCUAGGAGAGACCAGGAGAGCCACCAGACUAAGUUGUUUUGACCUAUUGUUUUGGGGUGAUGUGUUACAUAGCAUUGGAUGAUACAAAAGGACUUGGUGAUUAUUGGUUGGGGAGCAGGAAGUUCCUGAUGAAUCCAGAUUUCUGCCUCAGGCCAGACAAUUAUAAUGCCAUUUCAUGAGAUAAAGGAAAAGCCAAGAGCAGAACAUGAGUUUUUUGGAGUGGUGAUGUUUGGUGGUAGUACAAGAUGAUAGGUUCAAUUUUGGAUAUAUUGAGUACAUGGUUCCUUGAAGACAUCCCAAGUGCAAGUGCCAUGUGGGCAGUUGUUUCUACAACCCUGGAGCUCAAAAACUGGGUCUUGGUAUAGAUUUUGGAAUUGUCAGCAGAAAGAAAGCCAGAGGAAUGAACAAGAUUCCCCACAGUAGAGAAAGAAGAAGAAAUGACCCAAAACAGAGCUAUGAGGAACACUCACAAUGGCCAGAGUAAAGGAAGACCAAUGAGUGUGGUGUGUCACUUCAGUUAUCAGAAGAAUGGUUAGAGGAAGGGACUGUUUAUAUUGUUAAAUGCUGUUGAGGGGUCAAAUAUAAUGUGUUUUUUUGGGGCCCCUGAGUGGUGCAGUUGAUUGAGCAUCUGACUCUUGGUUUCGGCUCAGGUCAUGAGAUCAAGCCCUACGUUGGGCUCUAAGCCAAGUGGGGAGUCCACCUCUCCACCACCCCAUCCUUACCCCUCUCCUUGGGUAUAUUUCAGUUUUGCAAGAUCCAAGAGAUGGAUAGUGGUGGGUGGUGGUUGUACAUUAUGAAUGUAUUUAAUAUACUGUACACCUAAAAAUGGUUAAGAUGGUAAACUUGUUGUAUUUUA